GAUGAGCGCUGGCGGCGUGCUUAACACAUGCAAGUCGAACGAAGAGGGUUAGAAUGAGAGCUUCGGCAGGAUUUCUUUCCAUCUUAGUGGCGGACGGGUGAGUAACGUGUGGGCAACCUGCCCUGUACUGGGGAAUAAUCGUUGGAAACGACUGCUAAUACCGCAUAAGCCCACAGGUCGGCAUCGACCAGAGGGAAAAGGAGCAAUCCGCUUUGAGAUGGCCUCGCGUCCGAUUAGCUAGUUGGUGAGGUAACGGCCCACCAAGGCGACGAUCGGUAGCCGGACUGAGAGGUUGAACGGCCACAUUGGGACUGAGACACGGCCCAG
This 327-nucleotide ribosomal RNA is filed under the name uncultured bacterium. Its description in RNAcentral is "bacterial SSU rRNA". It matches the Rfam family "Bacterial small subunit ribosomal RNA", at positions 28 to 334 of the family's 1533-position model. The record is from RNAcentral.